Molecule: ribosomal RNA, 382 nt
Filed under: uncultured Pseudomonas sp.
Lineage: Bacteria; Pseudomonadati; Pseudomonadota; Gammaproteobacteria; Pseudomonadales; Pseudomonadaceae
Description: bacterial SSU rRNA
Rfam family: Bacterial small subunit ribosomal RNA
Source: RNAcentral
AGAUGGAUUGGUUGCCUUCGGGAACUCUGACACAGGUGCUGCAUGGCUGUCGUCAGCUCGUGUCGUGAGAUGUUGGGUUAAGUCCCGUAACGAGCGCAACCCUUGUCCUUAGUUACCAGCACGUUAUGGUGGGCACUCUAAGGAGACUGCCGGUGACAAACCGGAGGAAGGUGGGGAUGGCGUCAAGUCAUCAUGGCCCUUACGGCCUGGGCUACACACGUGCUACAAUGGUCGGUACAAAGGGCUGCCAAGCCGCGAGGUGGAGCUAAUCCCAUAAAACCGAUCGUAGUCCGGAUCGCAGUCUGCAACUCGACUGCGUGAAGUCGGAAUCGCUAGUAAUCGUGAAUCAGAAUGUCACGGUAAGAAUACGUUCCCGGGCCUU